RNAcentral lists this ribosomal RNA (465 nucleotides) under uncultured bacterium. RNAcentral's name for it is "partial 16S ribosomal RNA". It matches the Rfam family "Bacterial small subunit ribosomal RNA", at positions 28 to 507 of the family's 1533-position model. The record is from RNAcentral.
GACGAACGCUGGCGGCGUGCUUAACACAUGCAAGUCGAACGGAAAGGCCCCUUUGGGGGUACUCGAGUGGCGAACGGGUGAGUAACACGUGAGUAACCUGCCCUUGCCUUCCGGAUAACUUCAGGCAACUGGGGCUAAUACCGGAUAGGAAUCCUUGCUGCAUGGUGGGGGUUGGAAAGCUUCGGCGGGUUUGGAUGGACUCGCGGCUUAUCAGCUUGUUGGUGGGGUAGUGGCUUACCAAGGCUUUGACGGGUAGCCGGCCUGAGAGGGGGAACGGCCAAAUUGGGACUGGGGUACGGCCCAGAACCCUACGGGGGGGAGGAGGUGGGGAUAUUGCACAAUGGGCCGAAGCCUGAAGCAGGAACGGCGCGUGCGGGGUGGACGGCUUCGGGGUGGAAACCGCUUUCCGCAGGGGAGAAGCUGGUGGUGACGGUACCUGGAGAAGAAGCACCGGCUAACUACGUG